RNAcentral lists this ribosomal RNA (253 nucleotides) under uncultured bacterium. RNAcentral describes it as "partial 16S ribosomal RNA". It matches the Rfam family "Bacterial small subunit ribosomal RNA", at positions 524 to 776 of the family's 1533-position model. The record is from RNAcentral.
UACAGAGGGGGCAAGCGUUGUUCGGAAUUACUGGGCGUAAAGGGCGCGUAGGUGGCCUUCUAAGUUGAACGUGAAAUCCCUGGGCUCAACCCAGGAACUGCGUCCAAGACUGGGAGGCUUGAAUCCGGGAGAGGGAUGCAGAAUUCCAGGUGUAGCGGUGAAAUGCGUAGAUAUCUGGAGGAAUACCGGUGGCGAAGGCGGCAUCCUGGACCGGCAUUGACGCUGAGGAGCGAAAGCUAGGGGAGCAAACGGG